AAAUUGAAGAGUUUGAUCAUGGCUCAGAUUGAACGCUGGCGGCAGGCCUAACACAUGCAAGUCGAACGGUAACAGGAAGCAGCUUGCUGCUUCGCUGACGAGUGGCGGACGGGUGAGUAAUGUCUGGGAAACUGCCUGAUGGAGGGGGAUAACUACUGGAAACGGUGGCUAAUACCGCAUAACGUCGCAAGACCAAAGAGGGGGACCUUCGGGCCUCUUGCCAUCAGAUGUGCCCAGAUGGGAUUAGCUUGUUGGUGAGGUAACGGCUCACCAAGGCGACGAUCCCUAGCUGGUCUGAGAGGAUGACCAGCCACACUGGAACUGAGACACGGUCCAGACUCCUACGGGAGGCAGCAGUGGGGAAUAUUGCACAAUGGGCGCAAGCCUGAUGCAGCCAUGCCGCGUGUAUGAAGAAGGCCUUCGGGUUGUAAAGUACUUUCAGCAGGGAGGAAGGUGUUGUGGUUAAUAACCGCAGCAAUUGACGUUACCCGCAGAAGAAGCACCGGCUAACUCCGUGCCAGCAGCCGCGGUAAUACGGAGGGUGCAAGCGUUAAUCGGAAUUACUGGGCGUAAAGCGCACGCAGGCGGUCUGUCAAGUCGGAUGUGAAAUCCCCGGGCUCAACCUGGGAACUGCAUUCGAAACUGGCAGGCUUGAGUCUUGUAGAGGGGGGAGAAUUCCAGGUGUAGCGGUGAAAUGCGUAGAGAUCUGGAGGAAUACCGGUGGCGAAGGCGGCCCCCUGGACAAAGACUGACGCUCAGGUGCGAAAGCGUGGGGAGCAAACAGGAUUAGAUACCCUGGUAGUCCACGCCGUAAACGAUGUCUACUUGGAGGUUGUGCCCUUGAGGCGUGGCUUCCGGAGCUAACGCGUUAAGUAGACCGCCUGGGGAGUACGGCCGCAAGGUUAAAACUCAAAUGAAUUGACGGGGGCCCGCACAAGCGGUGGAGCAUGUGGUUUAAUUCGAUGCAACGCGAAGAACCUUACCUGGUCUUGACAUCCACGGAAGUUUUCAGAGAUGAGAAUGUGCCUUCGGGAACCGUGAGACAGGUGCUGCAUGGCUGUCGUCAGCUCGUGUUGUGAAAUGUUGGGUUAAGUCCCGCAACGAGCGCAACCCUUAUCCUUUGUUGCCAGCGAUUAGGUCGGGAACUCAAAGGAGACUGCCAGUGAUAAACUGGAGGAAGGUGGGGAUGACGUCAAGUCAUCAUGGCCCUUACGACCAGGGCUACACACGUGCUACAAUGGCGCAUACAAAGAGAAGCGACCUCGCGAGAGCAAGCGGACCUCAUAAAGUGCGUCGUAGUCCGGAUUGGAGUCUGCAACUCGACUCCAUGAAGUCGGAAUCGCUAGUAAUCGUGGAUCAGAAUGCCACGGUGAAUACGUUCCCGGGCCUUGUACACACCGCCCGUCACACCAUGGGAGUGGGUUGCAAAAGAAGUAGGUAGCUUAACCUUCGGGAGGGCGCUUACCACUUUGUGAUUCAUGACUGGGGUGAAGUCGUAACAAGGUAACCGUAGGGGAACCUGCGGUUGGAUCACCUCCUUACCUUAAAGAAGC
RNAcentral lists this ribosomal RNA (1553 nucleotides) under Salmonella enterica subsp. enterica serovar Typhimurium. RNAcentral's name for it is "16S ribosomal RNA". It matches the Rfam family "Bacterial small subunit ribosomal RNA". The record is from RNAcentral. Lineage: Bacteria; Pseudomonadati; Pseudomonadota; Gammaproteobacteria; Enterobacterales; Enterobacteriaceae.